Molecule: ribosomal RNA, 253 nt
Filed under: uncultured bacterium
Lineage: Bacteria
Description: partial 16S ribosomal RNA
Rfam family: Bacterial small subunit ribosomal RNA
Source: RNAcentral
UACGUAGGGACCAAGCGUUGUUCGGAUUUACUGGGCGUAAAGGGUGCGUAGGCGGCGCGUCAAGUCAGUUGUGAAAUCUUAAGGCUUAACCUUAAACGGUCAACUGAUACUGUCGUGCUAGAGUGCAGAAAGGGCAAUCGGAAUUCUUGGUGUAGCGGUGAAAUGCGUAGAUAUCAAGAGGAACACCUGAGGCGAAGGCGGGUUGCUUGGCUGACACUGACGCUGAGGCACGAAAGCUAGGGUAGCAAACGGG